This 433-nucleotide ribosomal RNA is filed under the name uncultured bacterium. RNAcentral's name for it is "partial 16S ribosomal RNA". It matches the Rfam family "Bacterial small subunit ribosomal RNA", at positions 29 to 507 of the family's 1533-position model. The record is from RNAcentral.
AGCGAACGCUGGCGGCAGGCUUAACACAUGCAAGUCGAGCGGACCUUUCGGGGUCAGCGGCGGACGGGUGAGUAACGCGUGGGAACGUGCCUUCCGGUUCGGAAUAACCCUGGGAAACUAGGGCUAAUACCGGAUACGCCCUUAUGGGGAAAGGUUUACUGCCGGAAGAUCGGCCCGCGUCUGAUUAGCUAGUUGGUGGGGUAACGGCCUACCAAGGCGACGAUCAGUAGCUGGUCUGAGAGGAUGAUCAGCCACACUGGGACUGAGACACGGCCCAGACUCCUACGGGAGGCAGCAGUGGGGAAUAUUGGACAAUGGGCGCAAGCCUGAUCCAGCCAUGCCGCGCGAGUGAUGAAGGCCUUAGGGUUGUAAAGCUCUUUUAUCCGGGACGAUAAUGACGGUACCGGAGGAAUAAGCCCCGGCUAACUUCGUG